RNAcentral lists this ribosomal RNA (449 nucleotides) under uncultured bacterium. Its description in RNAcentral is "partial 16S ribosomal RNA". It matches the Rfam family "Bacterial small subunit ribosomal RNA", at positions 339 to 795 of the family's 1533-position model. The record is from RNAcentral.
CUACGGGGGGCAGCAGUGGGGAAUAUUGCGCAAUGGGCGAAAGCCUGACGCAGCAACGCCGCGUGAGUGAUGAAGGCCUUCGGGUCGUAAAGCUCUGUCGGGAGGGAAGAACACCUUCGGGUCUGACGGUACCUCCCGAGGAAGCACAGGCUAACUCCGUGCCAGCAGCCGCGGUAAUACGGAGUGUGCAAGCGUUGUUCGGAAUUACUGGGCGUAAAGCGCGCGUAGGCGGCUUGAUAAGUCAGAUGUGAAAUCCCUCGGCUUAACCGAGGAACUGCAUUUGAAACUGUCAGGCUUGAGUACGGGAGGGGGAAGCGGAAUUCCCAGUGUAGAGGUGAAAUUCGUAGAUAUUGGGAGGAACACCAGCGGCGAAGGCGGCUUCCUGGACCGAUACUGACGCUGAGGCGCGAAAGCGUGGGGAGCAAACAGGAUUAGAUACCCUCGUAGUC